Molecule: ribosomal RNA, 292 nt
Filed under: uncultured Acidobacteriota bacterium
Lineage: Bacteria; Pseudomonadati; Acidobacteriota
Description: uncultured Acidobacteria bacterium partial 16S ribosomal RNA
Source: RNAcentral
GGACUACCGGGGUAUCUAAUCCUGUUUGCUACCCACGCUUUCGUGUCUCAGCGUCAGUCAUGGUCCAGUAAGCUGUCUACACCACAGGUGUUCCUCCUGAUAUCUACGCAUUUCACCGCUACACCAGGAAUUCCGCUUACCUCUCCCAUACUCUAGCACUCCAGUCUGCGGCGCACCCUCCCAGUUAAGCCGGGAGAUUUCACACCACACUUAGAGCACCGCCUACACACUCUUUACGCCCAGUAAUUCCGAACAACGCUUGCUGCCUACGUAUUACCGCGGCUGCUGGCAC